This is an RNA transcript of Solenopsis invicta (red fire ant), 1985 nucleotides long. It is a transcript of the gene named transmembrane protein 185A, with no coding region annotated. The record is from RefSeq and is a predicted model, not a curated record. The transcript is spliced from 7 exons. NCBI's taxonomy places the organism in Eukaryota, Metazoa, Arthropoda, Insecta, Hymenoptera, Formicidae.
GAGCAGAAGGAAGGGAGAGGAGUGAAGUGGUGGGGGAAGUCGGAACGGCCGAUGAUUAUUAGCUGACUUCAGUAUGCUCCAAUGUUCGAAAUUUUGGUUAUAAUGGGUAGUAAUUUAUUUUUUUCUUGAAUACGGAUGCACGAGGCAUCGUUCGCGCUUAUCCGUGACGGUAUCCGCGGUAAAUGAGAUCCGUGGCGCGCCCGACGUAGUAUGCAUCUCCAUUCGACGAGUCACCUGCAGGCUCUCUCUGUUUAAUUGGCCUACAUAACCGCACUGACAAUUAUGAACUUGCAAACGCUUUUUCAGGACUUCAAUCCGAGCAAAUUUCUGGUACACACAUGUCUGAUGAUAUUCACGUCUCUGUUCGCCCUUCGACUGGACGGUUUUAUCGAAUGGAGUUACUGGUCAAUAUUCAGUCCGAUAUGGUUCUGGAAAGGCAUGGUGAUCUUGGGAGCGAUAGUCGGCAGCUAUGUCUGGUGGAGGCAUCCCCAUGCGAGAUUGGAGGGAGAUGCUUAUGUGCAUUACAAAGCAAUGCUGAUCACUCUGGCGUUGCACCUGAUCCUGUUAAUGUUCGAGCUAUUGGUGUGCGAUAAAUUAGAAUCUGAAAGACAUUUAUGGAUACUGGUAUUCAUACCCUUGAUUUUCAUCUCGAUAGUAUCGAUUGCGGUUUGCAUUUGGGCGGUGAAACACGAUCGGUCAUUCGAGUUGGAACUGUUCUGCGCAGUUAACGUUUUGCAAUUCAUCUUUCUGGCUUUAAGAUUGGAUGGCUUUAUAACGUGGAGUUGGGAAGUUGUGUUCGUGCCGCUAUGGGCACUUCUUUGCUUAUCCUUAGUAGCUGUUUUGUAUGCGAUAGUAUUCGCCGCUGUUUUAUUGAGAACGCCGCAGAUCAACGCCCGCCAGAGGCGGACUUCUUUGCACUCCGCCGUGGCGUACACGUUUCUCGUUGUUCCCAUUUUAGUGUUCCAGGUGCUGCUAGCGAAUAAAUUAGACGGAGAUAUUUCAAUAAAUUAUAUAACAGUGGCAAUGCCACUUCUCCUGUCACACAUGACUCUCAUUUUUAUGUCCUUUGGUGCAAAGGGCGGAAACAAAUGGUGGUUUGGUAUCAGAAAAGACUUUUGUCACUUCCUGCUAGGUUUGUGUCCGUUGCUUCAAGAAUAUGGUAAUAUUUCUUAUCAGCCAAGGGAUGAGCGAGAUCAGCCACCGUCCGAGCCAAUGAUUACAGAAAAGAGCGAGAAACUUAUUAAAAAAAUCGACCUAAUGAAACCUGUUGUGCCUAUAAUCUCUAUAGACAUGCCUGACUGAUUGGCUCAAAACAGGGGUUAGCUCGGAUAUUUUUUAAUUGUUAUUUUUAAUGCAACUGACUUAUACAGAGGCCAAACGUUUACUAUAAAAUAGUCAGGCCUUUUAAGCAGAAAUUGAAUUUCACGGAUAUACAUGUCGGCUGGGAUACAAGACUGAGCACCUCGCAUCUCUAGAGUAGCAUUAUGUCAGAACGCGUUAAAGAAUGAAGAAAAGAGAACAACUAAAUAAAUUAGAAGAAUGAUGUUGCUGUUAAUGUUGCUGGACAUCGUAAUGUUAAAUACCCAAUCAUUUAUUAUAGUAUAAUGUAGAAAUAAUGUAUAUACAGACUGUUAUGUACCAUAAUAAUAUUACAUAUAAUGGCUAUUAAAUAUUAUACAUGUCUACCAUGUGCAACAUUGGUAGACAAGUGCUAGUAACGUUACAUUAUUUUAUAUAUAUAUUACAUAAAAAAUUACUAUUAUAAUCUAAUAAAGUUUCUAUUUUUUGGUAUCAACAGCAACGAUUAAUUAAUUUUCUGUGAUUUCUGUUAAUUUAACAUACGGAACGAUAUCGUGGAAUAUAUUAAAACUAUUUCAAAUUUUUAAUAAUACUAUCCAACAACUUCACCGCAAAUGUUAUAAGCGUUAUAAAAACGAAUACAUUGAAUUCUGUGUUCGAUACUACAAAAACUUUGUAAGUUAUCA